RNAcentral lists this small RNA (107 nucleotides) under Marmota monax (woodchuck). Lineage: Eukaryota; Metazoa; Chordata; Mammalia; Rodentia; Sciuridae. The record is from RNAcentral.
GCCAGACGUGGUAGCGCACACCUGUAAUCCAGGCAGCUCUGGAGGCUGAGGCAGGAGGAUUGUGAGUUCAAAGCCAGCCUCAGCAACUUAACAAGAUCCUGUCUCAA